RNAcentral lists this ribosomal RNA (253 nucleotides) under uncultured bacterium. RNAcentral describes it as "partial 16S ribosomal RNA". It matches the Rfam family "Bacterial small subunit ribosomal RNA", at positions 524 to 776 of the family's 1533-position model. The record is from RNAcentral.
UACGUAGGGUGCAAGCGUUGUCCGGAAUUAUUGGGCGUAAAGCGCGUGUAGGCGGUUUCGCAAGUCGGGUGUGAAAGCCCUCAGCUCAACUGAGGAAGUGCGCCCGAAACUGCGGAGCUUGAGUACCGGAGAGGAUGGCGGAAUUCCCCAAGUAGAGGUGAAAUUCGUAGAUAUGGGGAGGAACACCGGUGGCGAAGGCGGCCAUCUGGACGGAUACUGACGCUGAGACGCGAAAGCGUGGGUAGCAAACAGG